Tetrahymena thermophila SB210 is the source of this 134-nucleotide small nucleolar RNA. It matches the Rfam family "Tetrahymena snoRNA TtnuHACA13". The record is from Rfam. Lineage: Eukaryota; Ciliophora; Oligohymenophorea; Hymenostomatida; Tetrahymenidae.
UAAACCACAAUUACUUCAAUUCUGUUAAUUGCUCUAAAUCAAUUGAUAGAAAGUAAGAGUGGUAAAUUAAAAAUUGCCACCUAAGAAGAUAGAAUAAUUAAUUUACCUACCUUCAAACGAGGGAAUUGACAAUC